Small nuclear RNA from Sorex fumeus (smoky shrew), 107 nucleotides. The record is from RefSeq and is a predicted model, not a curated record. Lineage: Eukaryota; Metazoa; Chordata; Mammalia; Eulipotyphla; Soricidae.
GUGCUCAUUUGGGCAACAUAUAUGCUAAAAUUGUAUAGAUAAAGAGAAGAUUAGCAUGUUCCCUGAACAAGGAAGAUAUAUAAAUUCAUGAAGUGUUCCAUAUUUUU